GACGAACGCUGGCGGCGUGCUUAACACAUGCAAGUCGAGCGGUAGGGCCCUUUCGGGGGUACACGAGCGGCGAACGGGUGAGUAACACGUGGGUGACCUGCCCUCAGCUCUGGGAUAAGCCUGGGAAACUGGGUCUAAUACUGGAUAUGACUCCACGGUGCAUGUCGUGGGGUGGAAAGCCUUGUGCGGCUGAGGAUGGGCCCGCGGCCUAUCAGCUUGUUGGUGGGGUGANGGCCUACCAAGGCGACGACGGGUAGCCGGCCUGAGAGGGCGACCGGCCACACUGGGACUGAGACACGGCCCAGACUCCUACGGGAGGCAGCAGUGGGGAAUCUUGCGCAAUGGGCGAAAGCCUGACGCAGCGACGCCGCGUGAGGGAUGACGGCCUCGG
RNAcentral lists this ribosomal RNA (391 nucleotides) under uncultured bacterium. RNAcentral's name for it is "bacterial SSU rRNA". It matches the Rfam family "Bacterial small subunit ribosomal RNA", at positions 28 to 420 of the family's 1533-position model. The record is from RNAcentral.